GAGUCAGAGAUACAGAUUUCUACACUUUCAAAGAAAACUUGAUUGCAACCAGGAAGUUUGUGCAUUUUUGAAGGCAUACUGAAUUGCAGUGCCUGAAUGGGUUAAUAAGGCGAAGAAUAAAAAGAAGGGAGAAGAGAAAAAGGUAUGAAUUUUACAUGUGCUUUAAACUAAUGUAUUCAACCACAUGUUUAGACUUCUUGUUAUAAUUUUAUUGACUUUCUCUUUAUAUCGGAAUAUAAUUUUUAAUAGCUAAUAGCAAAUUGCAAAACAGCGAGUUUUCUCAAGUGCCUUUUCUUCCCCGAGAUCCUCAUCUUAGAAUGAUCAGCGGUUUAUCAGAAGAACUGGACCCUGAUUUCACAGCCUCAUACAAAGCCAGGCCGUUCUUGAACCAAACAAACAAAGGGGGUAUUCUUCAGGGAGACCAUUCACAUGGAUUGACAUCCCAAUGUUCUCAUAAUGAGCAGUGUGCACUUCUGUGAGGACGCUGCAGUAUGUUGCUGAGACGAGGAUCCUGUCAAAUACCAUCUGAAUCUAAAGAAAUACCGGAAUGAUCUAUUUCCAGCAUCUCCAG
Rhinolophus ferrumequinum (greater horseshoe bat) is the source of this 571-nucleotide long non-coding RNA. RefSeq lists it as uncharacterized. Lineage: Eukaryota; Metazoa; Chordata; Mammalia; Chiroptera; Rhinolophidae. The transcript has 3 exons. The record is from RefSeq and is a predicted model, not a curated record.